CCCAGUAAACGGCGGCCGUAACUAUAACGGUCCUAAGGUAGCGAAAUUCCUUGUCAGGUAAGUUCUGACCCGCACGAAAGGCGUAACGAUUUGGGCGCUGUCUCAGCUGUAGACUCGGUGAAGUCUUAGUACCUGUGAAGAUGCAGGUUACCCGCGACUAGACGGAAAGACCCCAUGGAGCUUUACUGUAGCUUGAUAUUGGACUUUGAUGCAGGAUGUACAGGAUAGGUAGGAGACUGAGAGACAUGCACGCCAGUGUGUGAGGAGUCGCUGUUGGGAUACUACUCUUCCUGUAUUGGAGUUCUAACCGGAUGCCAUAAGCUGGCAACGGGACAGUGUCAGGUGGGCAGUUUGACUGGGGCGGUCGCCUCCCAAAGAGUAACGGAGGCGCCCAAAGAUACCCUCAGCUUGGAUGGAAAUCAAGCGCAGAGUGCAAAGGCAAAAGGGUGUUUGACUGCGAGACCAACAAGUCGAGCAGGGACGAAAGUCGGGCUUAGUGAUCCGGCGGUGCUGAAUGGAAAGGCCGUCGCUCAACGGAUAAAAGCUACCCUGGGGAUAACAGGCUGAUCUCCCCCAAGAGUUCACAUCGACGGGGAGGUUUGGCACCUCGAUGUCGGCUCAUCGCAUCCUGGAGCUGAAGUCGGUUCCAAGGGUUGGGCUGUUCGCCCAUUAAAGCGGUACGCGAGCUGGGUUCAGAACGUCGUGAGACAGUUCGGUCCCUAUCUGUCGUGGGCGUAGGAAGUUUGAGAAGAUCUGUCCUCAGUACGAGAGGACCGGGAUGGACAUAUCAAUGGUGCACCAGUUGUCACGCCAGUGGCACAGCUGGGUAGCUAAAUAUGGAAGGGAUAAACGCUGAAGGCAUCUAAGUGUGAAACCCACUUCAAGAUGAGACUUCCCAUUACGCAAGUAGGUAAGACCCCUUAAAGACGAUAAGGUUGAUAGGUCAGGAGUGUAAGCAUGGUGACAUGUUCAGCGGACUGAUACUAAUAGGUCGAGGACUUAACCU
RNAcentral lists this ribosomal RNA (1006 nucleotides) under human gut metagenome. RNAcentral describes it as "bacterial LSU rRNA". It matches the Rfam family "Bacterial large subunit ribosomal RNA", at positions 1919 to 2925 of the family's 2925-position model. The record is from RNAcentral.